Non-coding RNA from Oryctolagus cuniculus (rabbit), 1499 nucleotides. NCBI's taxonomy places the organism in Eukaryota, Metazoa, Chordata, Mammalia, Lagomorpha, Leporidae. The record is from RefSeq and is a predicted model, not a curated record.
CACUGGGGCUCAGCCUGGGCAGGGCGUGCGAGCCCAGCUCAUUCCGAGAGCAGCUACACUUGGAAGCUGCUGUUUUUCUUUCGUUGGGCCAAGUCCAUCCUUAUCAGAGACAUCAGAGACGGAGUGAAGUGGGUUUCCCACGCCUGGGACCGUGAGCAAACUGGGGAAGGAUUACGGGGCCAGCCGUGCAGUACACACGACCCAAUUGCCUUUAGAAACCUCCAGUCUGAUGGUGCAGAGGGGAAAGCCGGCGUCACCGAGCUUGUAAGUCUGCAGUACCACCGGCCAGUACAGGGAUUGGCCCAACUCUAAAUCAAAAUUGAUCUUCUGGGGAGAGAGGCCAUGCAGAAUUUUGAAGGUGAGAGGAGGUGUUUGAAAUCUCACAAGCUGGUGUGGGUUCCUGUAGCUGCACAAAGUAUCAGGGACUGGAAAUAGAACGUUAGGGGUCGUGUUUACAAAAUGACAUAAAUAUUUUUAAGUUAAUUUCUUGAUUAGAAAGAAAACUCUCAACCCCCCGGUUCACUCCCCAAAUGCCCACAACAGUCAGGACUGGGCCAGGCCAAAGCCAGGAGGCAGGAAGGCCAUGUGGGUCUCCCACCCAGGAGGAAGGCCGUGUGGGUCUCCCACCCAGGAGGAGGAAGGCCGUGUGGGUCUCCCACCCAGGAGGAGGAAGCAGCACUGAGCCAUUGCCGCCGCCUCCUGGUGAGCGUUAGCAGGAAACUGGGACAGGAGCAGGGCUGGUGCCCACACCCAGGGACUCUGGUCUGGGACACAGACAUCUCCAGUGAGGGCUUGAUUGCUAUGCCAAUCACCCAUCCUCCCUUUUUAAAAAUGUAUUUUAUUUACUUAAGAGGUAGAGAAUGAGAGAGAGAGAGAGAGAGAGAGAGAAAGAAGAGAGAAAAUGCAAUGUUUAGAUUCUGCGUAAUCAAGCACUCUGCACACAAUGGUUAAUACUGCCAACUUGUCACAUGAUAGGCUCUAUCUAAUUGACUAAUUCAUUUCAUCUUCCCUUGGUCUCAGGAGGGAAGUACUUUAAAGAGAGAGAGAGAGAGAGAGAGAGAGAGAGAGAGAGAGAGAGAGAGAGAGAGAGAUUAUUGGGGCCAGCCCUGUGGCACAGCAGGUUAAAGCCCUGGCCUGAAGCACUAGCAUCCCAUAUGAGCUUGAGUUCUAGUCCUAGCUGCUCCUCUUCUGAUCCAGCUCUCUGCUAUGGCCUGGGAAAGCAGUAGAAGAUGGUCCAAGUCCUUGGGCCCCUGUAGCUACGUGAGAGACCUGGAAGAAGCCCCCGAUUCCUGACUUUGGAUUGACUCAGCUCCAGCCAUUGCAGCCAUUUGGGGAGUGAACCAGCGGAUGGAAGACCUCUCUCUCUGUCUCUACCUAUAUCUGUAAUUCUUUCAAAUAAAUAAAGACAAAUCUUUCAAAAACUAUUAUUUAUUUGAAAGGCAGAGUGAGAGAUAUCUUCCAUCCGCUGGUUCAUUCCUCAAAUGCUCACAACAGUCAGG